UACAGAGGGGGCAAGCGCUGUUCGGAAUUACUGGGCGUAAAGGGCGCGUAGGCGGCCCUCUAAGUCGAACGUGAAAUCCCUGGGCUCAACCCAGGAACUGCGUCCGAGACUGGGGGGCUAGAAUCCGGGAGAGGGAUGUGGAAUUCCAGGUGUAGCGGUGAAAUGCGUAGAUAUCUGGAGGAACAUCGGUGGCGAAGGCGGCAUCCUGGACCGGUAUUGACGCUGAGGCGCGAAAGCCAGGGGAGCAAACGGG
Molecule: ribosomal RNA, 253 nt
Filed under: uncultured bacterium
Lineage: Bacteria
Description: partial 16S ribosomal RNA
Rfam family: Bacterial small subunit ribosomal RNA
Source: RNAcentral